Molecule: long non-coding RNA, 454 nt
Filed under: Mus pahari (shrew mouse)
Lineage: Eukaryota; Metazoa; Chordata; Mammalia; Rodentia; Muridae
Description: lncRNA (MGP_PahariEiJ_G0003840.1)
Source: RNAcentral
GUGAUUGUGAUAGACCCAGGAAAUCUGGUCUGACACCCUUUUAAACUGCAGUUGGAGGAGGCUGAGAAAGUGCAGCACCUUUUGUUCUCUGGUGUCAGCCCCCCAGAACCUCUUCUUUGAGAAACUUGUGCAGUUCCUGGCCAAGGAGGUACCUACUGCCAGCGACUACUACCAAGAACAAGCAGCUUCCAAAACUGAAUGGUGGGCAGAGUGAUUUUUAUCUGCUCACCGUUAUCUCCUCUAUUUUAUGAGCAGCUCCUUGUAUUUCCUUGUGGUUUGUUUCACAGGAUUCAGUGAACAUGUUCUAAGCAGCAGAGGGUCCUGGCAGUUUGACCCUGUGGGGAAUUCCCAGACUGACAUGGGGCCUCAGUAAAGGGAGUUUUUGAGAUAAGGCGGGGGUAUAGAGAAUGUACUUUGGGACAGCACCAGAAUGAAAAGUAAGCAAACCCAGGCA